This 310-nucleotide unclassified non-coding RNA is filed under the name Hevea brasiliensis (rubber tree). The record is from RNAcentral. Lineage: Eukaryota; Viridiplantae; Streptophyta; Magnoliopsida; Malpighiales; Euphorbiaceae.
CAAGUUUCUCAAAAGUCAAGGCGCAGCUGGGAGCUAGCUACAAACCCUGUUUUGUAAUUGUGAACUUAUCAGAACUGCAGUUGCCAUAAUGGUGAAAUUAAAUGAUUGUGGAAAUAGAUGAAGGUGGACGGUUCUCAUAUUAAUGGGCAUAUGGCAUAUACUGACGGAAGGGAACCAAUGGAGCUCUUCUCCUCCUCCUCCUUAUCUUACCCAGGAAAAGGGGAAAUUUAUUUUUCUUAUUCACCCAAUUUGAAAAAUCAUGGUUCGCCUAAAUUUUUUUUUUAUUGUCAUAACACAUCAAAAAGUUUAG